AAGAAAGUAAAUAAGGGCGCAUGGCGGAUGCCUUGGCUCUCGGAGGCGAUGAAGGACGUGAUAAGCUGCGAUAAGCUUCGGGUAGGUGCAAAUGACCUUUGAUCCGAAGAUUUCCGAAUGGGACAACCCGGCAUUCUGAAGGAAUGUCAUCCAACUUGGUUGGAGGCUAACGCAGGGAACUGAAACAUCUUAGUACCUGCAGGAAAAGAAAAUAAAUAAUGAUUCCCCUAGUAGUGGCGAGCGAACGGGGAUUAGCCCAAACCACCCAUGUUACGGCAUGUGUGGGGUUGUAGGACCACGCUCUCGCAAGACAGUUAUUGAGAAGAAACGACUGGAAAGUCGUGCCAUAGACGGUGAUAGCCCGGUAUUCUAAGGUAACCGAAGCGUAGUGGUAUCCUGAGUAGCGCGGAGCACGAGGAAUUCUGCGUGAACCAGCCGGGACCAUCCGGUAAGGCUAAAUACUCCCGAGAGACCGAUAGCGAACCAGUACUGUGAAGGAAAGGUGAAAAGCACUUCGAAUAGA
RNAcentral lists this ribosomal RNA (523 nucleotides) under Bacteroides fragilis. RNAcentral describes it as "partial 23S ribosomal RNA". It matches the Rfam family "Bacterial large subunit ribosomal RNA", at positions 1 to 534 of the family's 2925-position model. Lineage: Bacteria; Pseudomonadati; Bacteroidota; Bacteroidia; Bacteroidales; Bacteroidaceae. The record is from RNAcentral.